RNAcentral lists this ribosomal RNA (497 nucleotides) under Nesterenkonia sp. LAMA 754. RNAcentral's name for it is "bacterial SSU rRNA". It matches the Rfam family "Bacterial small subunit ribosomal RNA", at positions 69 to 576 of the family's 1533-position model. The record is from RNAcentral. Lineage: Bacteria; Bacillati; Actinomycetota; Actinomycetes; Micrococcales; Micrococcaceae.
GAAGGCCCGUGCUUGCCGGUUGGAUUAGUGGCGAACGGGUGAGUAUCACGUGAGUAACCUUCCCUUGACUCUGGGAUAAGCCUGGGAAACUGGGUCUAAUACCGGAUAUGACCGGCCUCCGCAUGGGGUGCUGGUGGAAAGCUUUUGCGGUUUUGGAUGGACUCGCGGCCUAUCAGUUUGUUGGUGAGGUAAUGGCUCACCAAGGCGAUGACGGGUAGCCGGCCUGAGAGGGUGACCGGCCACACUGGGACUGAGACACGGCCCAGACUCCUACGGGAGGCAGCAGUGGGGAAUAUUGCACAAUGGGCGCAAGCCUGAUGCAGCGACGCCGCGUGCGGGAUGACGGCCUUCGGGUUGUAAACCGCUUUCAGCAAGGAAGAAGCUUUAUUGUGACGGUACUUGCAGAAGAAGCGCCGGCUAACUACGUGCCAGCAGCCGCGGUAAUACGUACGGCGCGAGCGUUAUCCGGAAUUAUUGGGCGUAAAGAGCUCGUAGGC